UCAGCAGUCCAAAAUAUUAGUCAAUGCUCGAAAGAGUGAACUAGCUAACUGAAAUCAAUAAUAGAAAUUGAUAACAUAAGGGAAAAUAAUGAUAUUACCUUAUUAUUAGUGUCGUCCAAAACUGGUGCCAGAAGACUCGGUAAGGCCAGAGACACAAACGUUAAUCGUCUUAAUCAGGCGUAAAGGGUUUGUAGGCGGCUUUAAAAUUUACUUAUAAAAAUAAAUAAUAAGUAAAGAAUAAAAGCUAGAAUCAAAUAGAGGAUAUAUGAAAGAAUGCUUAGAGUAGGUCUGAUAUCCUUAGAUACUAAGUAGAAUAUUAAAGGCGAAAGCUUUUUUCCAUUAAUGAUUGACGCUCAGAAACGAAGGUGAGGAAAGGAAAUAGGAUUAGAUACCCAGAAUACCCCUCUCUGUCAACGAUGAAUGGUAGUUAUUAGUAAAAAAUUAUUAAUAGCAAUGUUAACACGAUAACCAUUCCGCCUUGUGAGUACAACUGCAAAGUUGAAAACAAAAAAAUUAGUCGGUUUCGGAGCAAACGAAGUGAAGCAUGUUAUUUAAUUCGAUAAUCCGCAA
Molecule: ribosomal RNA, 570 nt
Filed under: Russula sp.
Lineage: Eukaryota; Fungi; Basidiomycota; Agaricomycetes; Russulales; Russulaceae
Description: SSU rRNA
Rfam family: Bacterial small subunit ribosomal RNA
Source: RNAcentral